UUUAAAAAACAAUUAACUGUU
Molecule: non-coding RNA, 21 nt
Organism: Caenorhabditis elegans
Lineage: Eukaryota; Metazoa; Nematoda; Chromadorea; Rhabditida; Rhabditidae
Source: Ensembl